Molecule: unclassified non-coding RNA, 377 nt
Filed under: Hevea brasiliensis (rubber tree)
Lineage: Eukaryota; Viridiplantae; Streptophyta; Magnoliopsida; Malpighiales; Euphorbiaceae
Source: RNAcentral
GGUGUUCAGAUUUUAGAGCAAGCAUUCACAAUGGUGCUUCCUGAAAGGAGGCGGCACAGUCAUCAUUUGGAGUGUUUGUUCAACUUUUACAUGAGGAUGCUUUGCAGACAUCAUCAAGAAAUGAAGCUGUCAAAAUUAUGGGAAUAUAUAGUGACAGGACUGGAUAUAUAUCCAUGCAGUCCGAAUCUUUAUAAUGCAUUAGUCGAAAUUGGCCAUCUCUAUGCGUCACCUAAUAAGCUACGGUGGAUCUUUGAUGAGAAAUUCCAAAAGAAACCUUCACUUGUUGCUUGGCUCUUUGCAUUAUCAUUUGACAUGAGUAGAGGUGGUACAGAGCAUAGAAUACGCAGACUUUUUGAGAGGGCAUUGGAGAAUGAGAA